ACGUAGGGUCCGAGCGUUGUCCGGAAUUAUUGGGCGUAAAGGGCUCGUAGGCGGUUUGUCGCGUCGGGAGUGAAAACUCAGGGCUCAACCCUGAGCGUGCUUCCGAUACGGGCAAACUAGAGGUAUGCAGGGGAGAAUGGAAUUCCUGGUGUAGCGGUGGAAUGCGCAGAUAUCAGGAGGAACACCGGUGGCGAAGGCGGUUCUCUGGGCAUUACCUGACGCUGAGGAGCGAAAGCAUGGGGAGCGAACAG
This 251-nucleotide ribosomal RNA is filed under the name uncultured prokaryote. Its description in RNAcentral is "partial 16S ribosomal RNA". It matches the Rfam family "Bacterial small subunit ribosomal RNA", at positions 525 to 775 of the family's 1533-position model. The record is from RNAcentral.